RNAcentral lists this ribosomal RNA (460 nucleotides) under uncultured bacterium. RNAcentral describes it as "partial 16S ribosomal RNA". It matches the Rfam family "Bacterial small subunit ribosomal RNA", at positions 338 to 795 of the family's 1533-position model. The record is from RNAcentral.
CCUACGUGAGGCAGCAGUGAGGAAUAUUGGUCAAUGGGCGCGAGCCUGAACCAGCCAAGUCGCGUGAGGGAGGACGGCCCUACGGGUUGUAAACCUCUUUUGCCGGGGAGCAACGGGCGCCACGUGUGGCGGCACUGAGAGUACCCGGAGAAAAAGCAUCGGCUAACUCCGUGCCAGCAGCCGCGGUAAUACGGAGGAUGCGAGCGUUAUCCGGAUUUAUUGGGUUUAAAGGGUGCGUAGGCGGAUCGUUAAGUCAGUGGUCAAAUGGCGGGGCUCAACCCCUUCCCGCCAUUGAAACUGGCGAUCUUGAGUGGAAGAGAGGUAUGCGGAAUGCGUGGUGUAGCGGUGAAAUGCAUAGAUAUUAGGCAGAACCCCGAUUGCGAAGGCAGCAUGCCGGCUUCCGACUGACGCUGAAGCACGAAAGCGUGGGGAUCGAACAGGAUUAGAUACCCGUGUAGUC